Rhineura floridana is the source of this 7403-nucleotide RNA transcript. It is a transcript of the gene named NACC family member 2, with no coding region annotated. Lineage: Eukaryota; Metazoa; Chordata; Lepidosauria; Squamata; Rhineuridae. The record is from RefSeq and is a predicted model, not a curated record. The transcript is spliced from 9 exons.
CUCCUCCCCCUCCGCCGCCAUAAUCACUUCCUGCCUCCAGCCGGGAGGAGCCGGCGGGGAAGAAGGCCAGGCCAGCCCAAGCAGGCAGGCAGCUCUGCUUGCUGCGGGAGGUCCACGCCGGCCCGAGGCGACCCGCCACCCCCCGCAGGUGCCACCAGCCUUGGAAAGGUGUAUGGAGGAGGCGGUGAUUGGCAACCUGAGUGCAAGUACAUCAUGAGGGUGAGCAAGACCUUGGAGUCAACUUGAGCCUAACCUGUGACAACACCUUCUUUUGGGACUGGCAUUUGCUCUGCGACUCUCAUCAAAGGACUCUAUUCAUUGCAGAGAAUGGCCUGAAUGUUAAGCUGCACAUGGGCCUGUUCAUUGAGAUGCUUUGUGCCGCUAGAUCUGACUUCGCCGAGGGAGAGAGAAGCAGGGACUCCUUGCAGCAGCAGCAUCCCCCCCCCCCCACCAGGAGGGGUCUGGUCCCCUCCCCUGCUCCUUUCCAAGGAGGCUUUGCUGCUGCGCUGUAGAGUAGCAGGCUUGGCUGCUGAAGAGAGGGCUUUAGGAGACCCUUCCAGGAGGAAGAGGAGAAGGAGGUGCUUGGAUUUCACACCCCUUAAGAUGUGUGCUCCUUCGGAUCCUGUUGCACUGAAUGAGUAAGGAAGGAGUCGCUGAGCCAUGUCGCAGAUGUUGCACAUAGAAAUCCCCAACUUUGGGAACACUGUCUUAGGCUCUCUGAACGAGCAGCGGCUCCUGGGCCUUUACUGUGAUGUCUCCAUUGUCGUCAAGGGUCAAGCCUUCAAGGCGCAUCGGGCUGUCCUGGCGGCCAGCAGCCUCUAUUUCAGAGACUUGUUUAGUGGGAACAGCAAGAGCGCAUUUGAGCUCCCUGGCUCUGUGCCCCCCACCUGCUUCCAGCAAAUCCUGUCCUUUUGUUACACCGGGAAGCUGACCAUGGCCGCCAGCGAGCAGCUUGUCGUGAUGUACACGGCAGGCUUCCUCCAGAUUCAACACAUUGUGGAAAAAGGGACAGACUUGAUGUUCAAAGUGAGUUCCCCGCACUGUGACUCCCAAACGGCGAUGAUUGAGGAGCCCAGCUCGGAGCCCCAGAGCCCCUGCAACCCCUUGCAGCCAGUGGCCAUCCCCUACGUCAUGUCUCCUUCCGUGCCCAUCCCGCUCCUCACACGGGUCAAGCACGAAAACCCGGAGCUGCAGCCGACGGCCGGGCUGCCUGCAAAGAGGUCCCUGGAGGCCAGUCUCCGGGAGGUGACCGGGGGCAGCUCCUCCAGCUCAGGGGCUGCGCUCAAGUUGUCUCGCCUCUCCUACUAUGGAGUGCCCAGCCUCGCCACACUCCUCCCAAACAUCCUGCCCCAGGCUCAGUAUGCCCAGGGGGAGCGGACGAGCCCCGGCGCCAGCAGCAUCCCCACCACAGACAGCCCCACCUCCUACCACAACGAAGAGGACGAGGAGGACGACGAAGCCUACGACACCAUGGCGGAAGAGCAGUACGGACAGAUGUACAUCAAGUCUACUGGCGGCUACGCAGCCCCUCAGGAGAAACCAGAGCAGGUGCCCUUAGAGAGCCGCUCCUGCGUCCUCAUCCGGCGUGACUUGGUUGCUCUGCCUGCCAGUCUCAUCAGUCAAAUCGGGUAUCGGUGCCAUCCGAAACUCUACUCAGAAGGCGAUCCUGGAGAAAAACUUGAACUUGUUGCAGGCUCUGGUGUUUACAUCACUCGGGGGCAACUGAUGAACUGCCACCUUUGCGCCGGUGUGAAGCACAAAGUCCUCCUGCGGCGCCUGCUGGCAACCUUCUUUGACAGGAACACACUGGCCAAUAGCUGUGGAACAGGAAUCCGCUCUUCCACCAGUGACCCGAGCAGGAAGCCUCUUGACAGUCGGGUCCUUAAUGCUGUGAAAUCAGGGGCAGAGAGGCUACCUCUAAACACCAGGACCAAUAACACAAUUCAUCAAAGAGCUCAAGCGCAGCUUUCCAGGCAGAGAGACAGAAACAGAAGUUGUCGGAGGAUUCUGAGGAUCUUGGCAUCCCAGGAAUUUUGGAAGAAGCUGAUCAGGUAGCCAGGAAACAGGCAGAGGUUAGAACUGCUGCCUCCCCUGUAAGGGUGGGGGGGAGAGAGAGUGAGUGAUUAUCAUAGGCUGAGAGCUUUCUUGGAGGCGCAGCUGCCCGUGUGGGUGCCCAGCCCAGAUCCACGCCUAACUCUAACUCUGGCUCUUCAUUCUUUGGCCAGCGGUGGUGGUGGGUGCAUGCUGGGGGCCUUCCUGCCCUUCUACUUGGCUUCAUGCUUUUUCCCUUUGGAGGGGAGGGGGGUCGCUGUUUGUGUCUUGGCUGUCUCUCCCCACCCCCACCCCCUUGUCUGCAGAGCUCCCAGUUAGGGCAGCAAUUCCUUCAACUGCAUUCCUUGGUACUUCUGAAUUGCUAGAUUGUUUCUGAGUGAGUGAAAUGCAAGUCGGGAUUGGAGCUUAAUUUUUGUUCCUUACUCAUAGUUUUAGGAUAUGUGUCUUUCUGCUUUCUGCCCACCUUCCCUUUCAGAGGAAGAUCAUGUAAAAUACGUGACAGCAGAGAAGAAGGUGGGGGCCUUUCCCAGUUCUGAUUGUUUGAGCUGCUUUGCCCAGCGUGGAGAAGACAUGGAAUAGUCAUGUCCAUUAACUUAAAUGGGUCUAACUUGGGAUAUCCUCCCCCUCACGCAUGGAGUUUAACGGGAGCGCAAAUGUCUUGGCGCAGGACAGGCAGCCAUUUACCCUGGGCAAAGAGAGGCUGUCUCUGCUUUCUGCAUGUUUUGAAAUGUGCAGGUUCACCGUCAUGCUUGAAAGGCGUUGGGUACAAAGCAGAUUUCGGAGUGCUGUGUUUGGCUGACGGGCAGCCGGUACGUGUGCAAAUGACAGAGCAGGUUGGGGUGGGUCUGAGUUUGGGGAGAGGGCAGACAGGCAGGCCUGUGUGACCAGUUCAGGUUACUGUUUUGGGGGUACUUGCAGUGAUCUGCCACAGUUCAGAUGCAAUCGGAGGCUCCACAUCAUGUCUGUCUUAGGGGGGCAGGGAGGAAUCCGCCGUGGCCUGAUCGGGCUACUUGCCAGAAAGGGAAGGGCAAAGAGUGCCCUCCCCAGCCUUUUGUUUUGAACAGCGAGUAUCUCUUAGGCCAGCAUUUCCCAGCUAGUGGGCCACCAGAUGUUGUUGGACCACAACUCCCAUCAGCCUCAGCCAGCAUUGCCAAUGGUCAGGAAAGAUGGGAAUUGUGGUCCAACAACAUCUGGUGGCCCAUUAGUUGGGAAAGGCUGUCUUAGGCUAAUAGAGAACGGCUUUUGCUCUGGGCUCCGCCCCUUAGCCAUCCCCCAAAUGUUGCCUUCGCUCCACACCCAGACCUGUUCUGAAUGCCAUCCCCCCAAAAACCAAGACUUGGCAAUCUUAAUCCCGGCAUGGACAUUGCUGGAGUGCCCCGCAACCAGCAUGUGUGAGAGAUGCUGAGAGCUUCCCCCCCCCCGCCCGGCAAACUCCCUCUUUCCCAGCACAAAUCCUCCUUGGUGUGGUGGUUUGUUUCUGUUUCUCGAGGCGGGAUUUCCCCCAUGGAUGUCAGUCAGGGAGGCAGCAUCUCUGCUAUGAUCCUGUGGAAGGAGGGAAUGUAAAGAGCCGGCUGGGUAGUGGCCAUGCUGAGUUUUUGGGAUGCAGAACUCAGGUGAGGGCAGGCUUCUGAAGCUCCAAAGUGGCUCCUUUGUGAAUAGGGCAGCUUCUGAGCCAAUGGCACAGCAAGCAAGGUUUGGGGUUUUGCUCUCUUCCUAGCCCCUCCCUCUAACCAAGAUGGCGCUCUCGUCUUUUGCCACACAGCUGUUGAGGCAUGGGACUUGUCUUUGAGCUACACGUGGAGCUUCUGUCUUAAUUCAUGCACUUUUGUACCCUGAAUAAACCUCUGCGGUCCCUGAUAAUGACUAAAACCAUUUCAUUGCUGAUGAAACAGGUGGUUGAGGCCUUCAAGCAGGCACAGAAGGCCCAAAGCCCUUGGUGUAGUGAGGAAUCUGGUGCCGAUAGCUGGGCCAGUUGCCUUCAGGCUUUUCCUGAACUGGGGUGGCCUCGGUGGCCCCUGCUAUGGCUUGGGCGAUGAUGGUGAUGGGCUUCUUGUUGCAACUGUUUGACUCUUCCUGGCCUGAGUUGGGAUUCUCUCUUUUCAUGGGAGGGGGCAGCCCUGAAGCAGCUUUGGGGACUCACAGCUUGGCUCACUCUCACUGGGCGCCUUCCAUGGUCUCUGAUCAGUCACAUCCACUCAAAAGCAGCCUUGCUAGACACACUCGAGAGAGGGCCAUCCUGGCCACUCCUGAUGGCCCCCACUGGCCUUUGGUCUGUGCCAACACUCGAGUCAUUCAAGGCUUUUAUGCUUAUCGUCCCGGGAAAGUCCCUUGCUGGGAUUCUGUCCUACAACCAGCCUUGUGGCCUGGAAAACCUUUGACAUUUCCAGUGUUCUGUUUUCAAUCUCGGGAGCAGAUUCAGCCGGUGAAAACCAUCUCCCUCAGCAACGGAAUGGGCCUUCCUCCUCCUGGCUGGCAGAUUCCACUGCCCUUGGUGAAACAGCUGGGCCUCUACUCCUCCUGUGCUGCCUGCCAGCUCUUUGGCUGAGGGAGGUCAGUGAGAAGGUGCGUGCGCGUGCGCGUGCGAGAAAGCUGGCGAUGGAAGCCGGUCCUGUUGGGUGCAGAGGGGGUUGUUGUCCAUCAGAGCCCAAGACUCCAGCAGCGCCCAUUUCUGGGCUGGCCUAGCCUAGCUCAGCUUGGGGGGGGGGCUGGUUUGAAGCAGAGUCACAAACUGAAAGGCCGGGCCACGUCCAAUGGGGCAGAGUGAAGGUAUGCUAAGGGGGAUCACAAUGAUCUGCCAGGACCCUGGACAGGCCAUGGUGAUGGCAGACAGUGGCUGGAGCUGUGGCCUUAAGAAGCCUGGCUGGUCAUGCCUGGCUGUUACCCCCCCCCCCCGAUCUGUCUGUGUUCCUAAAAGAGCCAUUGCCCAAUUCUGCAGUGGAGGGUGCGUGGAACAUGAUGAGAACCUUAUCAAAGAGAUGCACUCCAAGUGAUGAGUCAGGUAGAGCCACACCCUCUGGGCUACUAGGUGGUUCCAUGGGGAAUCCCCCCCCCCUCCUGACUCUUCCCCUGCAUAAGAAGGGGGAUUGUGGCGACAGAAUGUGACAGUGUCCUGCUGGAAAGGGUUGCUGCCACAUCUUUCUUUGGGGGGGGUAUUUCCUCUUCCAGAAAGCAGUGCAUUUUUCAAAUGGGAUACCCCACCCAAAAUAAUUAUUGUACAAAGUGCACUCACUGUGCGGGAGCCCCUGUGAUAAAAUUACCAGGACAAAAAGGAAAUACUUGAAUGAGUUAGAAAAGAAUCUGAGGAGAGUAUCAUGUUGCACAGUUAAGAUAUAUUUUUAUACCGAGCACAAUUUCAUGUACAUUUUUAUUUGGGGUUUCUUUGUCUGUUUGUUUCUUUUUUACUUUCUAAUUAGAAAAAGAGAGAGAGAGCUGUAGGUAAACUUGAAAAAAUGUGAAUAGUUAAUUUUUUGGGGGUGGGGGCAUUUCCUUAUCUUCCAGAUGAGGGUGAGCAUUUGCACUAAGCCAGUUCUGCACGAGGAGGGGUAAGAGCAUAUUUCAAAGAUAUAUCAGUGGAUGAUGAUUGUAUCCUUCCAGAUGGGAAGAGAGAAUGUUGAAAAAGAAAUCCUUGGAAAAUAAAAUAAUGUAAAGUGAGAAUGAAGCCCAUAAUGACUGGGAUUUCCUGAGUGCCUUAAGCCUUUUCAAAUCACUUGUUUUCCAUGGGGAGAAAACAGAGGGGGGAAAAUACCAGAUCAGAAGGAACUCCUUCCCUGCCCUGCCGCCGCCCUCCCCCCCCCCGUUUCCCCUCCUUUGUUUACAAUAAUGCUUGAAAUGUCACUAGAGUCUGGGAGUUGCUUUCUGAUUGUAAUGAUACAUAAUGUGAAGUGGAAAUGGCAUCCCUCUAAACCUAAAAGGGAGAAGAAGAAGAAAUGGAAGCAGAAGUAUUUAUGAGCUAUACUUUUAACUUGGGAAGCCGAAUCCAAGAGUGUCAUGCAACAUUAAAUGUGAAAAGGAAGACACCCCCCCAAAUCACCACUGCUCGGCAGUGCAUUGAAGAAGGGGCAGUCCCCUGUUUGGAUGCCUUGGAAAGGCCACAGCUGCUUGGGCAUGGAACUCUGCCAGCGACAGGUGCAAGGGUGGCUUCUUUCUGUGGAAGAAAGGCUUUUGGUCUGAGAAGAGCCUCUUCGGUUCCUGGGCACAGGGUCCUGUGGUGGUGGCCUCCCUGACCUGCAAAGAGACUCCACAGCUGCCGCCCAAAUGUUGUGGCCUGUAUGAUACGGUGGUCAUUUUCAGCCCAGUCUGCUGGGGCCGUUAAGUGUUGGUGCAGGGAUCCUUGACCUGUGCCCGUGUUGGAGGCUCUCUUGCAACAGCCAUUCAGUGCUGCCAUGGCAAUGCUGGCCAGUUCACUGACGACGACAGUUGCAGAGUGCCUACCUUUGAGCGGGGGGGGGGUCUGUGCCCAACCUCAAGACCAACCUCCUCCCCUUGGGGUCUCUGCAAUCACUGCUGGGGGAGACAAAAGGGCUCAUCGAAGAGUGGCGUAUCCCUCCAACCCCGGCUCUUGCUGCCGCCACUCUGGGUUGCCUGCCCUUGGAUAUGCAGGUCUCUGCAUACCAAAGACAGUCGAGGCUGGAGAGGGAGGCGGCGGCCAUUGUGUUGCCAUUUCUAAAGUGCUCGCGGUCUUCAGACGUUCCAAUUGGUUUCUUCCACAGUAUCUUCUUUGCACUUUUAUGUAUGAGAUGGAGGGGAGGGAGCCAAACUUUGCAAUACUGUUUUUAAGAAACAAACAUUAUAAAGACAUAGUCUAAGCAGAAAAUGUAUAAAUAUUUUUAACUUGAACCUUUGGACUGCGCUUGAUUCAAAUAAAGUAUUGAUCCUUGAAUUUUUUUGAAAGAAAAGUCUUAAGAGGACAAGGUUGUUCUUAGAAUCUGUAUCAAAGUAUCCAGUUGUACUGUAACUCAUGACUGUUAAAAAUAAAAAUCCCAGUGCUAAUAGGGGAGAUUUUGCAGUGCUUUGGAGUUGUGCUUCAGCCAUGCAAAGUUACUUUCCUCUCUCUCUCUCUCUCUCUCUCUCCCUCCCCCCCUUUGUUAUUUACGUGCCAUUCCUCAUCUCUCUCCUGAGACUGUUACUUUACAGCCACAGCUAACAAUAGGGACUCACGACAGCGUCAGAUGACUGAGAGGGGGCUUGGGGGGUGGGAGGGACGCUUCAAGGUAUCGCUUCCCAGCCCACUCCCAAGACUUCAAAGUGUGGUGUUAGCUGUUUUCUUAUAAUGAAAAUCCAUUUAAAAAUGUGAUCAUUAAUGAUAAAAAUGCUUUGUAAAAUUCACAUUUACAAAAUAAUAAAGUAAAUAA